GUGCUUGCUUCGGCAGCACAUACACUAAAAUUGGAACAAUACAGAGAGUAUUAGCAUGGCUCCUGCAUGAGGAUGGCACACAAAUUCAUGAAGUGUUCCAUAUUUUU
Molecule: small nuclear RNA, 107 nt
Organism: Microtus ochrogaster (prairie vole)
Lineage: Eukaryota; Metazoa; Chordata; Mammalia; Rodentia; Cricetidae
Source: Ensembl